This 248-nucleotide ribosomal RNA is filed under the name uncultured Enterorhabdus sp. RNAcentral describes it as "partial 16S ribosomal RNA". It matches the Rfam family "Bacterial small subunit ribosomal RNA", at positions 524 to 772 of the family's 1533-position model. The record is from RNAcentral. Lineage: Bacteria; Bacillati; Actinomycetota; Coriobacteriia; Eggerthellales; Eggerthellaceae.
UACGUAGGGGGCGAGCGUUAUCCGGAUUCAUUGGGCGUAAAGCGCGCGCAGGCGGGCUCGUAAGCGGGACCUCUAAUCUCGGGGCUCAACCCCGAGCCGGGUUCCGAACUGCGAACCUCGAGUGCGGUAGGGGAGGUCGGAAUUCCCGGUGUAGCGGUGGAAUGCGCAGAUAUCGGGAAGAACACCGACGGCGAAGGCAGACCUCUGGGCCGUCACUGACGCUGAGGCGCGAAAGCUAGGGGAGCGAA